RNAcentral lists this ribosomal RNA (433 nucleotides) under uncultured bacterium. Its description in RNAcentral is "partial 16S ribosomal RNA". It matches the Rfam family "Bacterial small subunit ribosomal RNA", at positions 29 to 507 of the family's 1533-position model. The record is from RNAcentral.
AACGAACGCUGGCGGCAUGCCUAACACAUGCAAGUCGAACGGGACCUUCGGGUCUAGUGGCGCACGGGUGCGUAACGCGUGGGAACCUGCCCUUAGGUUCGGAAUAACUCCCCGAAAGGGGUGCUAAUACCGGAUAAUGUCUUCGGACCAAGGAUUUAUCGCCUUUGGAUGGGCCCGCGUUGGAUUAGCUAGUUGGUAGGGUAAAAGCCUACCAAGGCGACGAUCCAUAGCUGGUCUGAGAGGAUGAUCAGCCACACUGGGACUGAGACACGGCCCAGACUCCUACGGGAGGCAGCAGUGGGGAAUAUUGGACAAUGGGCGAAAGCCUGAUCCAGCAAUGCCGCGUGAGUGAUGAAGGCCUUAGGGUUGUAAAGCUCUUUUACCCGGGAUGAUAAUGACAGUACCGGGAGAAUAAGCUCCGGCUAACUCCGUG